Long non-coding RNA from Girardinichthys multiradiatus, 478 nucleotides. RefSeq lists it as uncharacterized. NCBI's taxonomy places the organism in Eukaryota, Metazoa, Chordata, Actinopteri, Cyprinodontiformes, Goodeidae. The record is from RefSeq and is a predicted model, not a curated record. The transcript has 3 exons.
UGUGCUGCAUAUCUAUGUUAGUGGUGCCAGUUAUGCUACCCUCAUCGGAUGUUUGCUUGGAGGAUUCUUUGGGGUCCUUUUGAUUUCCGGCCUAAUUUUUCUCAUUCUGUCAAGAUCCGUGACUCUUCGGAACUGCCUCGGUGCGGAUGACACCGAAGACGACCUGGACACAAUUGUAAAAGGGUAAAAGGGUGAAAGACAAAGUAAUGAAGUCUAAGAAAUCUGUCUAACUUUUAUUUCUAAGUCCAGUUUAACUGGGUUGAUGGCAAGGCUAAUCAUGUUAUCCAAAUGAUACUGGCUUUUUUCUGACAGCUUCACAUCUUUCUUCUACAGUCAGCCAUUGGAUGAUGGACAUAUUGGUUCUUUGCCAAAAUAUGCUUUUCAGCUUAUAUGACAUUUUCCUUAAUGGUAACUUCCCACUUGCCAACAACCCAAAUUUUUACAAAUGAAUCGCACUUCCAAACACUUCCAACCCCAA